This is a long non-coding RNA of Rattus norvegicus (Norway rat), 1197 nucleotides long. RefSeq lists it as uncharacterized. The record is from RefSeq and is a predicted model, not a curated record. Lineage: Eukaryota; Metazoa; Chordata; Mammalia; Rodentia; Muridae.
CCCCACGGGCUCAUGCUCUGUAAUCAAGUCUGAGGCUUAAAGAUAUAAUGGAGCCCUGAAAACACGGGUCAAUCUUAGCAGCACAAGAGCUAAAAAAGCAACCAUUUUGUGUCCCGUUCCUUACAAAGAGACCUUGACAAAACCCGAACCCAGUGCCAAGCAAGACAGGGCUUCUCUGUACACUGUCACACCAAGCCGGGUGAAAGUGUUCACCAGGAGGCAGUUGGCAAUCUCCAGAACACAGGAAAUCCUGUGGGUUGAAAUUUCAAGCAACUCAAAAUGACUCAAAGAGCUACACUGAAGGACCGAAACUAUAAAAUGCUUUGAAAAACAAAAGACCAAACUCAAGGUGAUAAGGCCAACGGAACCGGUCCAGACUGGAAGAGGCUCCACGGGUGGCGUGCCACAUGGAGUGGCAAACCAAAAUCCUGAUCCACAGCAUCCUGCCACAGAAACCCAGUCUGAAGCAGCUGAACAACUGGAUUGACAGUAUUAAGUGAUGUCACUAGCUGUCUUCAGGGGCGAUGGCAACACCGUGGCUGUCAGCCUGAUCUCAGAGACGUAUGCAAAAGAGUCACCACUUAAAUAACACAGCACCGGGGGCUGACUCUGAAACAGGACAGGGGACUGGAGAAGUGGCUUGCUUAGCACGUGCAAAGCUCCGGGUCCCAUCCUCGGCACCACAUAAAACCUGGUGUGUGCUACAACAAUAUUCCCAGUGUUCAGCAGAUAAGCGUAUUCUCCAUUCCUUAUCAAGGAAACGUCUCUGUUUGAUAGACUGAGAACACCACGUAAAACCACAGCCAAUCAAAACGCAAAGUUGUGGAGCCCUGUCUCUAUGGAUACAUCUCCCAAAUACCUCUGUGCUUAAGGCUCAGGGAACACUGUGGAAGAGGGGGCGGAAAGACUCCGUGAGACAAAGGACCAGGGACUUUCCUCUCAGAUUACAUCUCUUAGCAACAGAAGAAGCCACACCCAUGAACUCUGCAACAUGGUUGCUCGAGCCUGAGCUAGACAAAGACGACACUGACGAGUGUUCUAAACCCAACGGAGGAAGAGCCCAGGAGACCUCGAUGCUACACAAAGCAACCUAGGAGAGCUGGCAGUGGAGGAGUGGCUCUCCCCAGGGAAGGGCACACUGGAUGUGCCAAAUGGCCCACCUGAAAGCAUACAUAAAGUAACAUUAUAUGGACUCAA